This is a long non-coding RNA of Salvelinus namaycush (lake trout), 2802 nucleotides long. RefSeq lists it as uncharacterized. The transcript has 3 exons. NCBI's taxonomy places the organism in Eukaryota, Metazoa, Chordata, Actinopteri, Salmoniformes, Salmonidae. The record is from RefSeq and is a predicted model, not a curated record.
GAACAGAAUUAACGGAACACUGUGCUGACGGGGAUUUGCUCGCCGAACAGGUGGAACAUUUGGCAAAGAUAUACGAAAUUGAAACCACACAGCACCAUUCCGAAGAUUGGAUUUUAAAACACGGAGCAGCGUCGUUAGCCGGUAGAUUGAGCCCCCGCACUUUCUUCUCAAACCCCUCGGGACAUACAGUAACUGGAGGAUAGGUGUUUAUUGAAGAUUUGUUGGAGAGAGAAUUUUCCUCCCAGCAAGCCAUUGUGCAAUGAUGGAAAAUGCCAUGUUUUAGGACGAACCCUUAAAGCUAGCUGGCUGACCAGGCAGCUAGCAGCACAUAUCAAGGAUUCUGGAUGAUUCUUCCACAAGAGUCCAUUGGGCAUCAUUAUUAUCAUCCGGAGAGCGCCUCUAAUUUAUCACCGAGACAGACGCAAUGUCUGUCCGUCUGACAGUGGACACAAUGGGCGACGCCAGUCUGAACGACUCGAACGUGAAGGUCGCAGUCCGUGUUCGUCCUAUGAACAGGAGAGAAAAGGACCUGAACACAAAAUGUAUUGUGGAUAUGGAAGGCAACCAGACCAUCCUUCACCCAGGUGGUGGAAACCUGGGCAAGGGAGACUCCAGGUUGGUGUGUGUUUCUGUGUGUGCCCAUGGGAAUCAGUUUCAGCUGUUGAAAGAGUUUGAGUCCAGUAAAGGGAUUUGGAGAAUGUCGCAUGACUGUGUUUGCGUGUCGACAGUCUGUGUCACCUGCUGAGUGAACAAUGAUUUGGGUGGGGGGGGGGUUGAACAGUCUGUGUUUGUUUGUGUGGAGAGAGUGUGUGUCUCUGUGUGUAUGUCAGUAGACAGCCCAGGCUGCCUGCUGCUCCUCUCCUCAUCCUUCCGUGUGUUGGAGCAUAACUCUCCUCCGACUGACUUCCUCUCUUUAUCUCAACCCUUCCGUUGCCCCGACAAUGCAGGGGGAGGUCACGUCGGGGUCAACGCCUUGCGAUCAUGGAACCCCAUUACAUUUGGAGAAGCUAGGGAGUGAGGAAAAAGAAAAGAAAGAAAAAAAGCAUGUUUGCUUUAGCAUCUGUCGGCUGUAAAGAUUCCCGGCUGACUUUUAUGGGGGUAAACAAGGGAAGCGCUAUCAUUUCUCUCUUUCUCUGCCUCUUUUCUUUAUUUCCCUUUAUUUUCCUUCGGAUGACAAUGGUGUGAGCGUUGGUGGGUGGACCAGGUUUUAAACUUGGAGGAGAAGACGGAGCUGGCUGCUGCCCUCACACUGCAGACACUUUAAUGGUGGAGCUGGGUUCGUGUUGUGGGACCUGCUGCUGGGAUGAAGAGAUGAAUGGAGUAGAGGCUCUCCUCGCUCACUCCCAUAGAGCCUCUACAGACUCCCAGGGCCCCAGAUGCCUCCAAUGGCACGAGUUCACAUGACUGCCCAGUGUUUUACCUAGUUUAUCUUUGGUGGUGGGGGCUCGGAAUCCAGACAACAUAAUUUAUUUUUUAUAUAUAUAUAUUUUUUGUACCCCUCUUUCUCCCCAAUUUUGUGGUUUCCAAUUGUCUCAUCGCCUCAACUCCCGUACGGACUCGGGAGAGGCGAAGGUCGAGAGCCGUGCGUCCUCCGAAACACAACCCAACCAAGCCGCACUGCUUCUUGACACAAUGCCCACUUAACCCAGCCGCACCAAUGUGUCGGAGGAAACACUGUACACCUGGCGACCAUGUCAGCCAGAUCUUAACCCUUUGAAAAACAAUUAAACGGAAUUUUGGGAAAAACAAAACAGGUAUUUUAUAGGGCCUAUAAUAUCCAUCCACUCCCCUGUCUUUUUCCUGCGUGCCAGCGUGUGGAGAGCGGGACUGUGUUGCCUGUCUGACUGAUCUCUCUAUCUAUCGAAUGUGUGUGGGACUAGUGGGACGUUGAACUGCUAAUGUUUUGUCUCUGCUCCCGUGUCUUGUUAAAGUUUAAUGGCCGAUUUCGGUUUGUUCUCCCGAUAUGUUCUUUCCUCUAGCGAUAGUUAGAAUCAGGGAUAGCCCUCUGUCGUGUCGAUGCAUGUUGGACCUUCUAUGUUGGCUGAUCUGAUGUAUCAUGAUUCAUGAGUGGAAAAUGAUCAUGUCAGAUAGGGCCUGUCUAAUGAAUGUUCAAUAGGCCUACAGUACAUUGACACUCCCUGAAUGUCCCUGGCUGGGACUGACUGUUCCACCUCCAUUGAGACAAACUGGCCACGCUCAGACUGUACAAGGACUGCCUAUCUAGCACUACCUUCAAUAGAUGAAGACCACCAUACAUGCACACUGGCCCCACACACACACACACACACACACACACACACACACACACACACUAGUGCUGUGACGGUCAUGGAAUUUUGGAUGACUGUAAUUGGCCAGCCAAAUGACUGAGGUCUCUAAUAACCAUUUUGAAUAGCCCCCCCAAAAUUAUUCAAAUAUAUACAGUGCAUUCGGAAAGUAGUCAGACCCCUUUUUCCACAUUUUGUUACGUUACAGCUUUAUUCUAAAAUGUGUUAAUUAGUUUUUUCCUCAUCAAUCUAAACACAAUACCCCAUAACCUGACAGAGAGAACCUUCCCAAAGGACAACUAUCUCUGCAGCACUCCACCAAUCAGGGCUUUAUGAUAGUGGCCAGAAGGAAGCCAUUCAUCAGUAAAAAGCACAUGACAGGACUGGGAGACUAGUCAGGAUUCAGGGAAAGCUGAACGGAGCAAACUACAGUGAGAUCAUUGGUUAAAACCUGCUCCAGAGCGCUCAGGACCUCUGACUGGGGCGAAGGUUCACCUUCCAGAAGGACAAUGACCCUAAGCACACAACCAAGACA